GAGUGACUGACAAGCUGAGAUUCUUCCCAGUCAAAGGACCCAUUUUCAUGAUAGACAGUGUCUGUGGCUGGAGGCUCUACAUACAAGGUGUGUCUACACAGGCCAAAGAGUGCCAGUAUUAGCACAGGAUUUCCUUUCCUCCCACUCUGAAGAAGGAGAUGGAGAAGACAGUCAGAAGUCCAGGAGAUGGGACACCUUUCGUUUCAUUAGAAAGAGAAAUUAAAAUGUGUGAAAUGUGGAUUAUGCUUCAUAGAAUGAGCACACAUAAUUCACAUCAAUGACCUCCGACGGGAGAAACCAUUGAAAGCAAUGAACUCAGCAGGAAAUCAGUCUUAAACACACAAUGUGUAUUUGAAGUUCUUGUGUUUAUAUGUAAAACUGAACAGCAAUGAAAUAUUGAAUGCAAUGUCAAACAAUGUGAGUAUAAUCUAAGAGGUAAAGAACCUUUUGAUAGAGAGGAUGAAUCUGGUUUGCUGGUGGUGAGUGAGGAUUAGGGCUGGGCGAUAUAUUGAUAUCUGGUCCAAUACUGGUUUCUAGACCACAUCUCGAUAACCUUUGAAGAACAGCUGAUGUGGCAAUACACUGUCAAUCACAGUGUGUGUUUCUGGGAUGUGCCUGCAAGCAGCGGCAGAAAGUUUUCUUCGUGACGUCCCUGCAGAUGCUGAGUUGCUGACUUCCCUCCAAGACUACAAGAAGCGAAAGGCACGCCUCCAUUGCCCUGUGUCCUUCCAGCCUCUUUCCUCCCUUGCUCCCUUCUGCCGGUGUGUGUGCCUGACUUAGAUAUCCUGUAUGCUGUAUAAUUUUACCGCUGAAACUGGAUUUGCUCUCAGGAGCUAAGUUUUGUGCCUCACUGGGGACCCAGUGAGAACUGUAGGCUUUGAAAGCUCA
Podarcis muralis (Common wall lizard) is the source of this 888-nucleotide non-coding RNA. NCBI's taxonomy places the organism in Eukaryota, Metazoa, Chordata, Lepidosauria, Squamata, Lacertidae. The record is from RefSeq and is a predicted model, not a curated record.